UACGAAGGAGGAUAGCGUUGUUGGGAAUUACUGGGCGUAAAGCGCGCGUAGGCGGUUUUGCAAGCCAGAGGUGAAAUGUCUGAGCUCAACUUAGGAAUUGCCUCUGGGACUGUGAGACUUCGAGGACUGGAGAGGUGAGUGGAAUUCCCAGUGUAGAGGUGAAAUUCGUAGAUAUUGGGAAGAACCCAGGUGGCGAAGGCGGCUCACUGGCCAGUUUCUGACGCUGUAGCGCGAAAGCGUGGGGAUCAAACAGG
Molecule: ribosomal RNA, 254 nt
Filed under: uncultured bacterium
Lineage: Bacteria
Description: partial 16S ribosomal RNA
Rfam family: Bacterial small subunit ribosomal RNA
Source: RNAcentral